ACGGCUUGCUUACACAUGCAAGUCGAACGGUAACAGGUUAAGCUGACGAGUGGCGAACGGGUGAGUAAUAUAUCGGAACGUGCCCAGUCGUGGGGGAUAACUGCUCGAAAGAGCAGCUAAUACCGCAUACGACCUGAGGGUGAAAGCGGGGGGAUCGCAAGACCUCGCGCGAUUGGAGCGGGCCGAUAUCAGAUUAGGUAGUUGGUGGGGGUAAAAGCCCACCAAGCCAACGAUCUGUAGCUGGUCUGAGAGGACGACCAGCCACACUGGGACUGAGACACGGCCCAGACUCCUACGGGAGGCAGCAGUGGGGAAUUUUGGACAAUGGGCGCAAGCUGAUCCAGCCAUGCCGCGUGCGGGAAGAAGGCCUUCGGGGUGUAAACCGCUUUUGUCAGGGGAGAAAAGGGUCUGGUUAAUACCUGGGACUCAUGACGGUACCUGAAGAAU
RNAcentral lists this ribosomal RNA (447 nucleotides) under uncultured eubacterium WJGRT-11. Its description in RNAcentral is "bacterial SSU rRNA". It matches the Rfam family "Bacterial small subunit ribosomal RNA", at positions 39 to 487 of the family's 1533-position model. The record is from RNAcentral.